RNAcentral lists this ribosomal RNA (584 nucleotides) under uncultured Verrucomicrobium sp. RNAcentral's name for it is "bacterial SSU rRNA". It matches the Rfam family "Bacterial small subunit ribosomal RNA", at positions 490 to 1070 of the family's 1533-position model. The record is from RNAcentral. Lineage: Bacteria; Pseudomonadati; Verrucomicrobiota; Verrucomicrobiia; Verrucomicrobiales; Verrucomicrobiaceae.
GGGACGGCUAACUCUGUGCCAGCAGCCGCGGUAAUACAGAGGUCCCAAGCGUUGUUCGGAUUCACUGGGCGUAAAGGGUGCGUAGGUGGUGAGGUAAGUCGGAUGUGAAAGCUCCGAGCUCAACUCGGAAAUGGCAUUGGAAACUACCUUGCUAGAGGGUUUGAGGGGGGACUGGAAUACUUGGUGUAGCAGUGAAAUGCGUAGAUAUCAAGUGGAACACCAGUGGCGAAGGCGAGUCCCUGGAAAACUCCUGACACUGAGGCACGAAAGCUAGGGGAGCAAACAGGAUUAGAUACCCUGGUAGUCCUAGCCGUAAACGGUGCGUAUUUGCUGUAAAAGGAAUCGACCCCUUUUGUGGCGUAGCCAACGCGUUAAAUACGCCGCCUGGGAAGUACGGUCGCAAGAUUAAAACUCAAAGAAAUUGACGGGGGCCUGCACAAGCGGUGGAGUAUGUGGCUUAAUUCGAUGCAACGCGAAGAACCUUACCUGGCCUUGACAUGCAAGUAGUAGAACCAUGAAAGUGGGACGAGCCCGCAAGGGCAGCUUACACAGGUGCUGCAUGGCUGUCGUCGGCUCGGUCGGAA